GGCCAGGUUGGCCGGGGCUGUGAGCAACCUGAUCUAGUUAGCCGUGUCCCUGCUCACCGCAGGGGGGGUUGGACUAGAUGACCUCUAAAGGCCCCUUCCAACCCAAAACAUUCUAUGAUUCUA
Egretta garzetta (little egret) is the source of this 123-nucleotide long non-coding RNA. RefSeq lists it as uncharacterized. The transcript has 3 exons. The record is from RefSeq and is a predicted model, not a curated record. Lineage: Eukaryota; Metazoa; Chordata; Aves; Pelecaniformes; Ardeidae.